Geobacteraceae bacterium GWC2_58_44 is the source of this 219-nucleotide non-coding RNA. NCBI's taxonomy places the organism in Bacteria, Pseudomonadati, Thermodesulfobacteriota, Desulfuromonadia, Geobacterales, Geobacteraceae. The record is from Rfam.
AAAUUCCGCACGGCCAAAGCCUAGCCAGCAGGCCGCUAAGCGAGUCUUGGGUGGGGAAGGGUAACCCAACUGCCAAGCGUAGACAGCGAACAUUCGAGCCGUGUGAUUGAGCCUCGAAAUACAGUUUUUGUAGGGCUAACGAUGUCUAAUCAAUCGGACUGCAGCAUCGAAUACAUCGACAUUGGCGAGAUGUAUUCGGCCUACCGGGGUCGGAGAGCA